Molecule: ribosomal RNA, 253 nt
Filed under: uncultured bacterium
Lineage: Bacteria
Description: partial 16S ribosomal RNA
Rfam family: Bacterial small subunit ribosomal RNA
Source: RNAcentral
UACAGAGGUCUCAAGCGUUGUUCGGAUUCAUUGGGCGUAAAGGGUGUGUAGGUGGCGCCGUAAGUCGGGUGUGAAAUUUCGGAGCUUAACUCCGAAACUGCAUUCGAUACUGCGGUGCUUGAGGACUGGAGAGGAGACUGGAAUUCAUGGUGUAGCAGUGAAAUGCGUAGAGAUCAUGAGGAAGACCAGUGGCGAAGGCGGCACUCUGGGCCGUGACUGACGCUGAGGAGCGAAAGCGUGGGUAGCGAACAGG